This 373-nucleotide ribosomal RNA is filed under the name uncultured organism. RNAcentral describes it as "partial 16S ribosomal RNA". It matches the Rfam family "Bacterial small subunit ribosomal RNA", at positions 527 to 896 of the family's 1533-position model. The record is from RNAcentral.
GAACCGUCCAAACGUUAUUCGGAAUUAUUGGGCUUAAAGGGUGCGUAGGCGGUGCAGUAAGUUGGGUGUGAAAUCCCUCGGCUCAACCGAGGAACUGCGCCCAAUACUGCUACACUCGAGGGAGACAGAGGUAAGCGGAACUGAUGGUGGAGCGGUGAAAUGCGUUGAUAUCAUCAGGAACACCAGUGGCGAAAGCGGCUUACUGGGUCUCUUCUGACGCUGAGGCACGAAAGCUAGGGUAGCGAACGGGGAUUAGAUACCCCGGUAGUCCUAGCUGUAAACGAUGAGCACUUGGCGGAGGUUCCCCGAGAACUUCCGGCCCGUAGCGAAAGUGUUAAGUGCUCCGCCGUGGGGGAGUAUGGUCGCAAGGCUG